This is a long non-coding RNA of Rosa chinensis, 2067 nucleotides long. RefSeq lists it as uncharacterized. The record is from RefSeq and is a predicted model, not a curated record. Lineage: Eukaryota; Viridiplantae; Streptophyta; Magnoliopsida; Rosales; Rosaceae. The transcript has 3 exons.
AAUAAAGGAAAGAAAGAGAGAAAUAGAGCAAAGAAACUCAAAGAGAGAAUACAAUUGGUCCGUAUAUAAAUUAUUUUCCUUGAAAGAUUCUUAAAUUUGGAAACGACGAUAGCAGAAAAUGGAUUGGAUGAUCUUGCGAUUUCUUCCGGUUCCAUCGCUGAUCUCCAGGUUUCUUCUACACCAUGGGCUUUUCGUUUCUCUUUGCAAUCUAGGGCUUUAUCGUUUUAGUUUUUAGGUUUCUCGACUUUCAAUUUGGGCGAUCCAGUUACGUGAUACUAUCCUUGAUAAUUCUUCAUUUGCUUCUGCAAUUUCUGCAUCAAAUUUGAUGUGAUUGGCCUGCUGGCUUGCAUUCUUUCCAUUUGAGGGAUGUUCUCUAUUACUUCCGGUGUUUUGAGUUUUGGGUUUCAUACAUGUCAAGAGUAAACAAGAAGCUCAGUGUUUAGGUUUCCACCUGAUAAAGCCUCAGUUUUUGUUUCUUACUCAAUGUUAGAUAUCUACAAUUCAACUGGAAGAAACCCAGUUGACAUAUUCAUAAGUUUAAUUAACCCCAAAAUCAUCUAGAUAGGCCAUAAACUCUGCAUUUGAAUAGUCUUGGUCGGAUUGGAUGUGGUUUCUUUGCUCCCCCUUCUUGCUAGUUUCUAUCUGUGACUAUAAGUUGAGAAUAUGUUCAAUAUAUGUUCACCAAGGCUAUAUUUGAAUCACCAAGUCUCUAUUUGAAUUAGGAAAUCAAAAUGUGUGAAUUGUGAACGAAUGUAUGAUGAAGUUGAUUACAAAUCAUUGUUUGUAAAAAUUGUCUUUUGUAUUUUUAAACUUGAUCAGCUACUGGAUUUCUUUAUCAUGUAUUGAUGGAGUUUGCUAAAGACUUGGAAGUUCAAGAUUGUGGUCAUCUCUGUGUUUUUUAUAUAGGUUAUGGUUGCAACUGGUGUUUGUGCGGCAAUUGGGCAACUGUCCAAGCCGUUAACUAAUGUAAUUCUGUAUGGGAAAGAGUUUGAUUUCAAGGCAACCACUGCCGGCUUCCCUUCCACUCAUCCCUCUGUAAGCUAUAAGAAUCAAAUUUCAACAUUGGGUUCAAAACGGCGACUGGCUGCCGUAGAAGGAAGCUGAUUUGGUGCUUGGGGUCUGGAAAUUUUUUAUCCCAUCAUGUAACUUUAUAAUCAAAUAAUUUGUCAUACUCUCUGUUGGAUACUAUCUAAUGCCGGAAUUGCUUUUGUUGUUGUUUUCUCCAUGGGUAGUUUAGUGGUGGCUACUGCAACACUUGGCCUUGAAAGGGGGUGAGAAAAGAAGUCGGAAACCAAGCAAGAGUAGUGAACAAAACUUUGCCUCAAAUUACAAGGGGUGAACACAAUCUCAUCCAAAGAUAGAGGUAGACACACUUCUCAGCCUAAAACAUCAUCUUCGUUACAGUUGAAUAGGCUCAAGUUCCUUGCACUGGGGAUAGAGAAGCAGGGUGCCAUUGCCAUCCAUAGGGUUAAAGGGAAGAGUAAGCAGUUGGGAGUUGGUGGGACAGCGAUAUUAUCAUUCAGAAGCUUAGUGAGAAGGAAUCUAGACAAUCUUUUUCUAAGGGUGUGAGGCUUCAAUUGUGCACUGGGUAUAUAGAUGGUCUAUAAUCUAUAUGUACUCAGUUAAAUGCUACAUGGUCUAGCGUUUUCAACUGCAUGUGGAUAUAGAUGGUCUAUAAUCUAUAUGUACUCAGUUAAAUGCUACAUGGUCUAGAGUUUUCAACUGCACGUGGAAAGGAGCCGCCUUCACGACCAUGUAAGUCGCCGCCCCAAGAUCAAAACCCCUAGAAGAAAUGAGCAGAUGACCUCAAUCAGGGUUCAAAAGAUCUAAGGAUCAAAGGUUGCAGAAUGAGUACACGACACACCCUCCAAGCUCGAAAUAGAUACAAAUGGUCAGGAAAUAUUUAUUAAUUUUGUCUUAGAUUCCUUUUUCAAAUUUCUAGUGUUUUUCAUGGUUUUCCAUUUAAAUGGAAGUUUUGGAAGUAAUAUUUCAUUCAUUGUUCCGUAUCUUAUUAACUGGUGAGCCACAAGUUUUUUUGUUUUUACAUUUAUUUAGUUAAAAAAUUGC